AGUGAACGCUGGCGGUAGGCCUAACACAUGCAAGUCGAACGGCAGCACAGUAAGAGCUUGCUCUUACGGGUGGCGAGUGGCGGACGGGUGAGGAAUACAUCGGAAUCUACUUUUUCGUGGGGGAUAACGUAGGGAAACUUACGCUAAUACCGCAUACGACCUACGGGUGAAAGCAGGGGAUCUUCGGACCUUGCGCGAUUGAAUGAGCCGAUGUCGGAUUAGCUAGUUGGCGGGGUACAGGCCCACCAAGGCGACGAUCCGUAGCUGGUCUGAGAGGAUGAUCAGCCACACUGGAACUGAGACACGGUCCAGACUCCUACGGGAGGCAGCAGUGGGGAAUAGUGGACAAAGGGCGGAAGCCUGAUCCAGCCAUACCGCGUGGGUGAAGAAGGCCUUCGGGUUGUAAAGCCCUUUUGUUGGGAAAGAAAAGCAGCAGGUUAAUACCCCGCUGUUCUGACGGUACCCAAAGAAUAAGCACCGGCUAACUUCGUG
RNAcentral lists this ribosomal RNA (492 nucleotides) under uncultured bacterium. Its description in RNAcentral is "partial 16S ribosomal RNA". It matches the Rfam family "Bacterial small subunit ribosomal RNA", at positions 29 to 507 of the family's 1533-position model. The record is from RNAcentral.